CGUAACAAGGUAGCUGUAGGUGAACCUGCUGAUGGAUC
Molecule: ribosomal RNA, 38 nt
Filed under: Aphelenchoides sp. K1 WY-2008
Lineage: Eukaryota; Metazoa; Nematoda; Chromadorea; Rhabditida; Aphelenchoididae
Description: partial 18S ribosomal RNA
Source: RNAcentral